CAGUCGCCACGGUAAUACAGAGGGUGCGAGCGUUAAUCGGAUUUACUGGGCGUAAAGCGUGCGUAGGCGGCUUCUUAAGUCGGAUGUGAAAUCCCUGAGCUUAACCUGGGAACUGCAUUUGAAACUGUCAGGCUGGAGUCUUGUAGAGGGGGGUGGAAUUCCAGGUGUAGCGGUGAAAUGCGUAGAGAUCUGGAGGAAUACCGGUGGCGAAGGCGGCCCCCUGGACAAAGACUGACGCUCAGGUGCGAAAGCGUGGGGAGCAAACAGGAUUAGAUACCCCGGUAGUCCCUGUCUCUUAUAC
RNAcentral lists this ribosomal RNA (301 nucleotides) under uncultured bacterium. RNAcentral's name for it is "partial 16S ribosomal RNA". It matches the Rfam family "Bacterial small subunit ribosomal RNA", at positions 509 to 807 of the family's 1533-position model. The record is from RNAcentral.